GAUGAACGCUGGCGGCGUGCUUAACACAUGCAAGUCGAACGGUGAAGGCGGAGCUUGCUCUGCUGGAUCAGUGGCGAACGGGUGAGUAACACGUGAGCAAUCUGCCCCUGACUCUGGGAUAAGCGCUGGAAACGGCGUCUAAUACUGGAUACGAGCUGCGAAGGCAUCUUCAGCAGCUGGAAAGAACUUCGGUCAGGGAUGGGCUCGCGGCCUAUCAGCUUGUUGGUGAGGUAACGGCUCACCAAGGCGUCGACGGGUAGCCGGCCUGAGAGGGUGACCGGCCACACUGGGACUGAGACACGGACCAGACUCCUACGGGAGGCAGCAGUGGGGAAUAUUGCACAAUGGGCGAAAGCCUGAUGCAGCAACGCCGCGUGAGGGACGACGGCCUUCGGGUUGUAAACCUCUUUUAGCAGGGAAGAAGCGAAAGUGACGGUACCUGCAGAAAAAGCGCCGGCUAACUACGUG
RNAcentral lists this ribosomal RNA (468 nucleotides) under uncultured bacterium. RNAcentral describes it as "partial 16S ribosomal RNA". It matches the Rfam family "Bacterial small subunit ribosomal RNA", at positions 28 to 507 of the family's 1533-position model. The record is from RNAcentral.